Molecule: long non-coding RNA, 4748 nt
Organism: Pecten maximus
Lineage: Eukaryota; Metazoa; Mollusca; Bivalvia; Pectinida; Pectinidae
Exons: 2
Source: RefSeq, a predicted model, not a curated record
AAUCACCAGAAAGGGCAAAAUGUGUGUAAAAUCAAUAGAAGAUAUUGCGCAGAUGGGUGGUCCCGCCCCACCUAAACCUGACAAGCCAUACGACCACGACAGUGUGCCAGCCCACCUCAGCCAUCGUCACUCUCUCCCCGGCAAGUAUCAAAAUCACGAUUUCAUUCCCAAUUACUAACUUUGCUUAAUUUUCCGAAGCUGAUGUGCGUCAAUGUGCAGAUAAAAUCCGAGCCAACACGAAGCGUGCUUGGAGCGCCUAGCCAGGGAACAGCCUGCGUGCUCCACAUACUUACAGCUAAUGCUUUCGUUGGGAGUGAUUGUAUGAACCUAGCCGAAUCGGCUUUUAUCCCAUUGAUUGUAUGACGAAGAAACAAUGUUAUUGUUGAACGUAAACCAGACUGCACAGACAUAGAACAAGACCUACCAACAAUCGCGAGGCAGAGGACCGAUAUUUUUGCUGUACCACUUCAUAAAGUUUGACGGGAGUGGAUUGAUCUUCAGACAAUACUUGCUAGUGGUUUAGGACAGGAAGCAGCCGUGUAUAGUAAUGUUUGGGUUGUAGCGCCGAAUGUCCGUUGGUCAUCUCUCUGGACAGCGCUGGUCAUCUGAGGGCGUGAGCUAUACGUUACAGUGAAAAUCCGAUAUUGUCCGAAAUGGAUCGAGACGAGCUUAAGAUACAGGUGGAGAGUCUCAAGUUCCACCGUGACGUGGAACGGCUGAAGGUGUCCGAGGCGAUCAGGCAGUUACAAGCCUUCAUUGAAGAGAAUACACCGGAGGACGGUCUAGUUGUUACUCCAGAUAAGAAGAAAAAUCCCUGGACUGAGACUCGCAAGUGUGUGGUAUUGUAGUGACGUCACGCGCGUGUGGGCGCGUUCGAGGAGGAACAUCAUGCGUGUAUGUGUUUCUUCAGAAAAAAACUUGAAGCGACCGUGGGAUAUUCAAUGUACAUGAUAUCUAGUUCUCAGCAAACUAUGAACGACAUAAGUAAUACUCGUCCACUGAUAAUUUGUACCGAAAAUUAUUAUCAUUUUUUACUACAAAUAAUCAUUCCUGUUCCUAUGAAAUUCUCAGCAAUGUCGCAAAGGUCACGUGACAUGAUUAGUUGAUUGUCAUUCCUGAUGAAAUUUAAUAUAUUCCUUUUUAUAACUUAUUAUUUCGGAUGCGACAGAUUGGUGACAUUUACGGAUUGUGUAUAUGUAAAUAUGUACUUAAUUAGAUAAUUUAGUGUCAUAUAAUAUGUAGUUUAGUAGGUAAUCAAGCUUUUGCAUACCUCGUAUACGUGUAAACUUAGCAAUACUGAUAUACUAUGGCAUGUUUUCGAUAUCGCUGUAAUAUUUUAUGAAAGCUGUUCCGUCGAUAGACAGUCCAAUAUGGUUUAAUAGUUUUGACAGGACAAGCAGAUGCGUUCGAACAGCAGUGUGUACCUACAUUGUGUAAACUUCAGCCAUAAGUACAAUGACUAUCAAUCAUCCCAUGAGCUAGCGUGCUCCUUAUCGAACGCAUCGAUCUGCCCAUGACGUCACGCCACCGCUGGAAGUGAUGUUUUCUGCUUCUGGGAUUUCCGUUGGAAUAAAGAAAGAAGAGCAAAGCUCCAUACAGGCUGUGAAGUUUCACUGUUUCGGGUCUGGCUGAUGCGUUUAGUUUGUCUGUAUUGAGUCAGUCACGACUGCAUGACGUCAUUUAUUGUACAAGGUGGGAUCAUUAGUAAUUUAGAUACCGUGGUUAUAAAUAACGUACACGUAAUUCAAAUUUAGAGAAAAUAUAGUUAAAGUAAUCUAUAGAUUAUACUUUUGUAUACAAAUGAUGGAAAAUAAGAAAGUCUUGUGUACAUUGUAUGUGUAAUAUUGCAAUACCCAUUAUGGUAAAUACGGACUUCGUUCUUGUUGACGGUAAAAUUGAUUUUUUUAAUGUUGUAGUAUUUUAUAAAGAAUGCCUGUAGCAUGGCGUUGUCCUGGUGCCACAAUAAAGGUUUUAUAAGGUAUUUAAACCUUGUUAUACUGCCAUUACGUUCAAGCCUUUGUCAGAAGAAAAGAAAAAAAAACAUUUGAAAAUAGAUAUACAUUUAUCUGCGGUAAAGCGAGUUGGCAAAUGUAUUAUGAUAAAGACGAGUAUUUCAUAAUAGUUUUACAAAAAAUACCAUAUAAUGCACGUGGCAGCUAUUGCCUAGCACAAAAACAUGAUAUCAAGAUAAAGUGGCAUUAUAUUGAUGCUGAGAAGUUUCGAGUUUUUAAUGAUUAAUGCUGAAAUAUCGAGCUUUAGUGACGUUAUACGGAGUAUUCAGUAACAUCAAGGUUUAAGUGAUGUUUGAUCGAUGUUCAGUGACAAGAUAUCGAGGUUUUGCAUCAUUUUAUCGCGUUUAAAUGGCAAUGUAUCGAGAUUUUUAUGGCAAUAUACCGAGAAAAUUAAGUGGCAUUAUGUCGAUAUGUUAUUGGCAUUGUGUUUAGGUUGAAGUGGAGUUAUAUAAAGCUUUAUAUCGAUAUUUUAAGUGUCAUUAUGUCAAUAUCUCAAUGGCAUUGUAUCGAUAUUUUAGUAGCGUUAUAUCAAGAUUUGAGUGGCAUUAUGUGGAUAUUUUAGUGACAAUGUAUCGAUAUUUGAGUGGCAUUACGUCGAUAUUUGAGUGCAUUACGUCGAUAUUUUAGUGGCAUUACGUCGAUAUUUUAGUGGCAUUACGUCGAUAUUUUAGUGGCAUUAUAUCGAUAUUUUAGUGGCAUUAUAUCGAUAUUUUAGUGGCAUCGUAUCGAUAUUUUAGUGGCAUUACGUCAAAAUUGUAUUGGAAUUAUAUCGAUAUAUAAUUGGCAUUAUGUCGAUAUAUUAGUGUCAUUAUAUCAAUAUUUAAGUGGCAUUAUAUCGAUAUUUUAGUGGCUUUAUGUCGAUAUUUUAAUGGCAUUGUAUCGAGGUUUUAGUGGUACUUUAUCGUAUUCUAUAUCAAUGCAUCAUUUAUGGAAUACAUAGGUUUAAGUGACGUUGAAUUUGUGUAUUUUUAAUCAAUUUAGUGACAUCUAUGUUUCAUUGGCAUGAUAUUGUGUUGAGCGGCAUUAUAUGGAUUUUUUAGUGCUAUUAUACCAAAUUUGUAGUGGAUUUAAGUAGAGGAUUAACUACUGAAACGAGACAACCAUUUGAGAUACACGAUAUCUAUAACAGCUGAAUUUACUUACAUCAUGUGAAAACAGGUAUAAGAUGUAGUUUAAAUUCAAUGAUUACUUGACCACAGUUCAUACAAUCUUAUAUAGAGAAAUGCUUAAAAUAAUAAUGGUAUCUGAAUGUUACUAAUUUCUUUACAAAUGAAAUAAAGCAGGUUUAAAAUCAUUUAAAAAUUUAAGAAAAUACUUUCUAACGGAAUAAUUUAAGAUAAUUGACCAACUUAUUGCUGACAUUUUCUUCAACAUUUUCCGGAUUUGAAUCAAUUGCAAUAUCAUCAUAGUUGAAGGAGACUGAUAGUAUUCGCUAGCUGUAUGGAUAAUUUUUCAUAUAUGUAAUAAAAAUGCAAUUUUUUUUGUAUUUCUCACGUGUAUAACUCAACUUAAACUAUGAGAAAAUUACGAAGACUGUACAGCAGUGUUCUCCAGAUAUCCUUUAAGGCUAUGAAAAUAUGUAUGUUUGUUUACUGACACCCGACCGUCCCAAAUUUUAGGUGCCUGACCUAGAAUAUUGAUGCAUAUUGUUUGUGCCAUUAAGCCUGAAAUUAUGAUGAAAACAAAUAUCUGUCUACCGAUUCGAAUGUCCAACAUGAGACAAGUAAACAUUCAUAGUUCUUCAUUUCAUUUUUAUGAAUCUUACCAUAUUACAAUAUUCGAAUCUAGCUAGUUUAUAGAUAAUAUUUGAAAAGAUACAGAAACCGUGAUUUUAUCAAUUUUUGUGAAAAACUUCAGAAACGUUGUUAUUUUAAAUUCAAAUUUAGGUCGAGAACCCCAUUUCAUCUGUCUAGAUUUUCAAUUUACGUGCGGGAAAAUAAAACUAAUUAGAAAAUACUGCAAACGUACUUAAUUUGACACACCCAAAUUCGUAUUAAAACAGAUAAGCGGAACGAUGAAUUAGCCCAACAGCAAUGGUUGCCAUAGAAAUCAAUGAGAUAAACUACAAUUCGCACAAUAUUAAUUAACGGAAUGUUUCCAGCGCGAAAAAAAUGAUAAAAUAAGAUUAACGCUAAAAUAAGAUUACCGCAAAAAUAUGUACGUUUACAGUAAUGGUAAGAAUUUUUCCAAAAAUGCGAAGCCACUUAAAUGUAUUGCGUAUUAGUCGGAACAUGUAUACAAGUGAAUAGUUAGUACAGUGUUAGUGUCAACCUAUACUCAUACAAGCGGUUAAUCCUAAUCUUAUACUAGUAGGUGUGUGUAUGUAAUAUAGAUAAUAAAAACUAAAUCAGUUAUUGUUAAAACUAACAAUGCUUACCAAAUAUUGCUAUGGUAGAAAGUUAAGGGCAAUGCUUAAAAAAUCGCGAAAACUUUUUGUAUCAGCAAAUUUCAUUCUAAUGACUAAUGCGUACGUGUCAGUUCUACACGAGCUAAGAUUUUCUGGUUAAAUUUAUAAUGAUUCCUAUGCAAAAUAAUCAAUUCUGCAACAAAAUACGUCCGUUGGGUGGUACUCACCGGCCCGACCCUCCUGCACAAGAAACCCGACCCCCUGAGGAUAUCGUCGGGUCAGCACAGUACGCCACCAUCUCCGUAUGCACAAAAUGUAUCUACCUGUAUAUGUAUACGCCAUGUGAUGCAAUGACCGAAAAUAAAAAUACUGUUACCAAAUCUUUAAUA